UCCAGACUCAGGGUCAAACGGAGAUGUGAGC
This 31-nucleotide non-coding RNA is filed under the name Homo sapiens (human). Lineage: Eukaryota; Metazoa; Chordata; Mammalia; Primates; Hominidae. The record is from RNAcentral.